GACGAACGCUGGCGGCGUGCCUAAUACAUGCAAGUCGAGCGCAGGAAAUCGACGGAACCCUUCGGGGGGAAGUCGACGGAAUGAGCGGCGGACGGGUGAGUAACACGUAAAGAACCUGCCCUCAGGUCUGGGAUAACCACGAGAAAUCGGGGCUAAUACCGGAUGGGUCAUCGGACCGCAUGGUCCGAGGAUGAAAGGCGCUUCGGCGUCGCCUGGGGAUGGCUUUGCGGUGCAUUAGCUAGUUGGUGGGGUAAUGGCCCACCAAGGCGACGAGGCAGAGCCGACCUGAGAGGGUGGUGGGCCACACUGGGACUGCGACACGGCCCAGACUCCUACGGGAGGCAGCAGUAGGGAAUCUUCCACAAUGGACGAAAGUCUGAUGGAGCAACGCCGCGUGAACGAUGAAGGCCUUCGGGUCGUAAAGUUCUGUUGUAAGGGAAGAACAAGUGCCGCAGGCAAUGGCGGCACCUUGACGGUACCUUGCGAGAAAGCCACGGCUAACUACGUGCCAGCCGCCGCAGUAA
Molecule: ribosomal RNA, 524 nt
Filed under: uncultured bacterium
Lineage: Bacteria
Description: partial 16S ribosomal RNA
Rfam family: Bacterial small subunit ribosomal RNA
Source: RNAcentral